Molecule: long non-coding RNA, 578 nt
Filed under: Setaria viridis
Lineage: Eukaryota; Viridiplantae; Streptophyta; Magnoliopsida; Poales; Poaceae
Description: long non-coding RNA (SVIR_LNC003915)
Source: RNAcentral
UGCCAUUAGCUACUAGGAAAAACCCCCUCUAGAUACGUUGUAGUAGUAACGUAGUCUAAAAGCGUCUCUACGUCGACACAUAAAGAUGUGUUUUGACACGAUUUUGAAAACGUUUCGGACUGUUACGAUAUUAGACAUGCUUAUAGUGUUAGGUCCUGUUUGUUUCCACCCUCCUAAAAAUUUAGCUCCUAAAAAGUGACUAAAAUGUGACUAAAGAGCCAAACACUCCUCCUAAAAAGUGACUAAAAAGUUUUAGGAGGCUCAAAACUUUUAGUCCCCUCACCCCCUCCUAAAACCUCUUAAAACCAGUGCUAGACUCCCACUACCCCUUCUUUAUUGCCUCUACCCCCGCACCCUCCUCCUGACCGCACCCUUCCCGACCCCACCGCCGCUCCCUCCCUCCUCCACGCUGGCACCCGCGGCCUCUCACUGGCGGCCGUGCCAUCCCCCGCUAGAUCCGCCGUCCCCGCUCCCUUGCGCCACCACACGGGCCAGCCGGGCGCUCCCCCGCCGGAUCCCCGCCACCACCGGAUCCGGGCGAGGGAGGACCAGGAGGGGGGUGGCGGUGCCGGGGAAGA